This 1393-nucleotide ribosomal RNA is filed under the name uncultured bacterium. Its description in RNAcentral is "bacterial SSU rRNA". It matches the Rfam family "Bacterial small subunit ribosomal RNA". The record is from RNAcentral.
AGAGUUUGAUCCUGGCUCAGGAUGAACGCUGGCGGCGUGCCUAACACAUGCAAGUCGAGCGAAGCAAUUAAGAGGAAGUUUUCGGAUGGGAUGUUAAUUGACUGAGCGGCGGACGGGUGAGUAACGCGUGGGUAACCUGCCUCAUACAGGGGGAUAACAGUUAGAAAUGACUGCUAAUACCGCAUAAGCACACAGAACCGCAUGGUUCGGGGUGAAAAGCCGAGACGGUAUGAGAUGGACCCGCGUCUGAUUAGCUAGUUGGAGGGGUAACGGCCCACCAAGGCAACGAUCAGUAGCCGACCUGAGAGGGUGACCGGCCACAUUGGGACUGAGACACGGCCCAAACUCCUACGGGAGGCAGCAGUGGGGAAUAUUGCACAAUGGGGGAAACCCUGAUGCAGCGACGCCGCGUGAGCGAAGAAGUAUUUCGGUAUGUAAAGCUCUAUCAGCAGGGAAGAAAAAAAUGACGGUACCUGAGUAAGAAGCACCGGCUAAAUACGUGCCAGCAGCCGCGGUAAUACGUAUGGUGCAAGCGUUAUCCGGAUUUACUGGGUGUAAAGGGAGCGUAGGCGGCGCGUUAAGUCUGAUGUGAAAACCCGAGGCUCAACCACGGGAGUGCAUUGGAAACUGGCGAGCUGGAGUGCCGGAGAGGUAAGCGGAAUUCCUAGUGUAGCGGUGAAAUGCGUAGAUAUUAGGAGGAACACCAGUGGCGAAGGCGGCUUACUGGACAGUAACUGACGUUGAGGCUCGAAAGCGUGGGGAGCAAACAGGAUUAGAUACCCUGGUAGUCCACGCUGUAAACGAUGAAUACUAGGUGUUGGGUGCCAAAGGCUCCCGGUGCCGUCGCAAACGCAGUAAGUAUUCCACCUGGGGAGUACGUUCGCAAGAAUGAAACUCAAAGGAAUUGACGGGGACCCGCACAAGCGGUGGAGCAUGUGGUUUAAUUCGAUGCAACGCGAAGAACCUUACCUGGUCUUGACAUCCACGGAAGUUUUCAGAGAUGAGAAUGUGCCUUCGGGAACCGUGAGACAGGUGCUGCAUGGCUGUCGUCAGCUCGUGUUGUGAAAUGUUGGGUUAAGUCCCGCAACGAGCGCAACCCUUAUCCUUUGUUGCCAGCGGUCCGGCCGGGAACUCAAAGGAGACUGUUAGUGAUAAACUGGAGGAAGGUGGGGAUGACGUCAAGUCAUCAUGGCCCUUACGACCAGGGCUACACACGUGCUACAAUGGCGCAUACAAAGAGAAGCGACCUCGCGAGAGCAAGCGGACCUCAUAAAGUGCGUCGUAGUCCGGAUUGGAGUCUGCAACUCGACUCCAUGAAGUCGGAAUCGCUAGUAAUCGUGGAUCAGAAUGCCACGGUUAAUACGUUCCCGGGCCUUGCACUCACCGCCCGUCA